AUUAGCUCAGUGGUUAGAGCGUUGGUCUUAUGAGCCAAAGGUUUCGCGGGUUCGAUCCCCGCAU
RNAcentral lists this transfer RNA (64 nucleotides) under Prymnesium parvum. It matches the Rfam family "tRNA", at positions 6 to 65 of the family's 71-position model. Rfam says of the family: Transfer RNA (tRNA) molecules are approximately 80 nucleotides in length. Their secondary structure includes four short double-helical elements and three loops (D, anti-codon, and T loops). Further hydrogen bonds mediate the characteristic L-shaped molecular structure. tRNAs have two regions of fundamental functional importance: the anti-codon, which is responsible for specific mRNA codon recognition, and the 3' end, to which the tRNAs corresponding amino acid is attached (by aminoacyl-tRNA synthetases). tRNAs cope with the degeneracy of the genetic code in two manners: having more than one tRNA (with a specific anti-codon) for a particular amino acid; and 'wobble' base-pairing, i.e. permitting non-standard base-pairing at the 3rd anti-codon position. Lineage: Eukaryota; Haptophyta; Prymnesiales; Prymnesiaceae. The record is from RNAcentral.